UAUUGGAGCGGCCGAUGGCAGAUUAGCUAGUUGGUGGGGUAAAAGCCUACCAAGGCGACGAUCUGUAGCUGGUCUGAGAGGACGACCAGCCACACUGGGACUGAGACACGGCCCAGACUCCUACGGGAGGCAGCAGUGGGGAAUUUUGGACAAUGGACGCAAGUCUGAUCCAGCAAUGCCGCGUGCGGGAAGAAGGCCUUCGGGUUGUAAACCGCUUUUGUCAGGGAAGAAACCUU
RNAcentral lists this ribosomal RNA (236 nucleotides) under uncultured bacterium. RNAcentral's name for it is "partial 16S ribosomal RNA". It matches the Rfam family "Bacterial small subunit ribosomal RNA", at positions 219 to 454 of the family's 1533-position model. The record is from RNAcentral.